RNAcentral lists this ribosomal RNA (813 nucleotides) under 'Daucus carota' phytoplasma. RNAcentral's name for it is "bacterial SSU rRNA". It matches the Rfam family "Bacterial small subunit ribosomal RNA", at positions 377 to 1201 of the family's 1533-position model. Lineage: Bacteria; Bacillati; Mycoplasmatota; Mollicutes; Acholeplasmatales; Acholeplasmataceae. The record is from RNAcentral.
GAAACUCUGACCGAGCAAUGCCGCGUGAACGAUGAAGUAUUUCGGUACGUAAAGUUCUUUUAUUAGGGAAGAAAAGAUGGUGGAAAAACCAUUAUGACGGUACCUAAUGAAUAAGCCCCGGCUAACUAUGUGCCAGCAGCCGCGGUAAUACAUAGGGGGCAAGCGUUAUCCGGAAUUAUUGGGCGUAAAGGGUGCGUAGGCGGUUAAAUAAGUUUAUGGUCUAAGUGCAACGCUCAACGUUGUGAUGCUAUAAAAACUGUUUAGCUAGAGUUGGAUAGAGGCAAGUGGAAUUCCGUGUGUAGUGGUAAAAUGCGUAAAUAUACGGAGGAACACCAGAAGCGAAGGCGGCUUGCUGGGUCUUAACUGACGCUGAGGCACGAAAGCGUGGGGAGCAAACAGGAUUAGAUACCCUGGUAGUCCACGCCCUAAACGAUGAGUACUAAACGUUGGAUAAAACCAGUGUUGAAGUUAACACAUUAAGUACUCCGCCUGAGUAGUACGUACGCAAGUAUGAAACUUAAAGGAAUUGACGGGACUCCGCACAAGCGGUGGAUCAUGUUGUUUAAUUCGAAGGUACCCGAAAAACCUCACCAGGUCUUGACAUGCUUUUGCAAAGCUGUAGAAAUACAGUGGAGGUUAUCAGAAGCACAGGUGGUGCAUGGUUGUCGUCAGCUCGUGUCGUGAGAUGUUGGGUUAAGUCCCGCAACGAGCGCAACCCUUGUUGUUAAUUGCCAUCAUUAAGUUGGGGACUUUAGCAAGACUGCCAAUGAUAAAUUGGAGGAAGGUGGGGACGACGUCAAAUCAUCAUGCCCC